CAGUCGUACCUUCGGGUAAUCAGCCUUUCGAGUGCGAUUCUGUGGAGUUUGAGGAGCUUAACACCUUCAUGCUUUGCAUAUUCGUGCUCUUGGGUGUACUUGCCCGUGUGGUUGGUUAACAUCAAUUUUGGUGGUCAUAAAAUGACUGGAGGAAUGUAGCUUCGAUCUCGUAUUGAAGUGUUAUAGCCUUCGGUAGAUGUGAUGAUCGAGAUUGAGGAUUGCAACGGAUACCCCUUCGGGGGCUACCUGUCUGGUCUCUGAUCGUUGCUCUGGU
Molecule: ribosomal RNA, 274 nt
Filed under: Rhizophagus irregularis
Lineage: Eukaryota; Fungi; Glomeromycota; Glomeromycetes; Glomerales; Glomeraceae
Source: RNAcentral